AUUGAACGCUGGCGGAAUGCUUUACACAUGCAAGUCGAGCGGCAGCGCGGCCUUCGGGCUGGCGGCGAGCGGCGAACGGGUGAGUAAUGCAUCGGAACAUGCCCAGUCGUGGGGGAUAACACUUCGAAAGAAGUGCUAAUACCGCAUACGUCCUGAGGGGGAAAGCGGGGGAUCGCAAGACCUCGCGCGAUUGGAGUGGCCGAUGUCAGAUUAGCUAGUUGGUGGGGUAAAGGCCUACCAAGGCGACGAUCUGUAGCCGGUCUGAGAGGAUGAUCAGCCACACUGGGACUGAGACACGGCCCAGACUCCUACGGGAGGCAGCAGUGGGGAAUUUUGGACAAUGGGGGCAACCCUGAUCCAGCCAUUCCGCGUGAGUGAAGAAGGCCUUCGGGUUGUAAAGCUCUUUCGGCAGGAACGAAACGGUGGGCUCUAACAUAGUCCGCUAAUGACGGUACCUGAAGAAGAAGCACCGGCUAACUACGUG
RNAcentral lists this ribosomal RNA (484 nucleotides) under uncultured bacterium. RNAcentral's name for it is "partial 16S ribosomal RNA". It matches the Rfam family "Bacterial small subunit ribosomal RNA", at positions 29 to 507 of the family's 1533-position model. The record is from RNAcentral.